Molecule: ribosomal RNA, 478 nt
Filed under: uncultured bacterium
Lineage: Bacteria
Description: bacterial SSU rRNA
Rfam family: Bacterial small subunit ribosomal RNA
Source: RNAcentral
UGACAGUACUCCUACGGGGAGGCAGCAGUGGGGGAAUAUUGCACAAUGGGCGCAAGCCUGAUGCAGCCAUGCCGCGUGUAUGAAGAAGGACCUUCGGGUUGUAAAGUACUUUCAGUAGUGAGGAAGGCGGGUGUGUUAAUAGCGCAUUCGUUUGACGUUUAGCUGCAGAAGAAGCACCGGCUAACUCCGUGCCAGCAGCCGCGGUAAUACGGAGGGUGCGAGCGUUAAUCGGAAUUACUGGGCGUAAAGCGCAUGCAGGUGGUUUGUUAAGUCAGAUGUGAAAGCCCGGGGCUCAACCUCGGAAUUGCAUUUGAAACUGGCAGACUAGAGUACUGUAGAGGGGGGUAGGAAUUUCAGGUGUAGCGGUGAAAUGCGUAGAGAUCUGAAGGAAUACCGGUGGCGAAGGCGGCCCCCUGGACAGAUACUGACACUCAGAUGCGAAAGCGUGGGGAGCAAACAGGAUUAGAUACCCUGGUAG